RNAcentral lists this ribosomal RNA (1474 nucleotides) under Haloferax sp. wsp5. RNAcentral's name for it is "bacterial SSU rRNA". It matches the Rfam family "Archaeal small subunit ribosomal RNA". Lineage: Archaea; Methanobacteriati; Methanobacteriota; Halobacteria; Halobacteriales; Haloferacaceae. The record is from RNAcentral.
AUUCCGGUUGAUCCUGCCGGAGGUCAUUGCUAUUGGGGUCCGAUUUAGCCAUGCUAGUUGCACGAGUUCAUACUCGUGGCGAAAAGCUCAGUAACACGUGGCCAAACUACCCUACAGAGAGCGAUAACCUCGGGAAACUGAGGCUAAUAGUUCAUACGGGAGUCAUGCUGGAAUGCCGACUCCCCGAAACGCUCAGGCGCUGUAGGAUGUGGCUGCGGCCGAUUAGGUAGACGGUGGGGUAACGGCCCACCGUGCCGAUAAUCGGUACGGGUUGUGAGAGCAAGAGCCCGGAGACGGAAUCUGAGACAAGAUUCCGGGCCCUACGGGGCGCAGCAGGCGCGAAACCUUUACACUGCACGCAAGUGCGAUAGGGGGACCCGAGUGUGUGGGUCGUACUAGACUCACUCGACCUUUGUUAUCGUGACGUUUCCGGGACGGCACCCGGGCGUCCGGUGCCGCCCCGCGGUAUGUACCGGCAGUCUGGUGAUGGCCGAUAGUUAUUGGGCCUAAAUGCGUCCGUAGCCGGCUGGGUAAGUCAUCGGGAAAUCCGGCCAGCUCACUGGUCGGCGUCCGGUGAAAACCACGUGGCUUGGGACCGGAAGGCUCGAGGGGUACGUCCGGGGUAGGAGUGAAAUCCUGUAAUCCUGGACGGACCACCAAUGGGGAAACCACGUUGAGAGACCGGACCCGACAGUGAGGGACGAAAGCCAGGGUCUCGAACCGGAUUAGAUACCCGGGUAGUCCUGGCUGUAAACAAUGCUCGCUAGGUAUGUCACGCGCCAUGAGCACGUGAUGUGCCGUAGUGAAGACGAUAAGCGAGCCGCCUGGGAAGUACGUCCGCAAGGAUGAUACUUAAAGGAAUUGGCGGGGGAGCACAACAAACGGAGGAGCCUGCGUUAUAAUUGGUCUCAACGCCGGCCAUCUCACCAGCUCCGAGAACACUGGAGAGGAUCAGGUUGAUGGCCUUAUCACGACGCAGUAUCGAGGAGAUGCAUGGCCGCCGUCAGCUCGUACCGUGAGGCGUCCUGUUAAGUCAGGCAACGAGCGAGACCCACACUUCUAGUUGCCAGCAACACCCCUGCGGUGGUUGGGUACACUAGGAGGACUGCCAUUGCCAAAGACCACGAAGGAACGGGCAACGGUAGGUCAGUAUGCCCCGAAUGAGCUGGGCUACACGCGGGCUACAAUGGUCGAGACAAUGGGUUGCUAUCUCGAAAGACGACGCUAAUCUCCUAAACUCGAUCGUAGUUCGGAUUGAGGGCUGAAACUCGCCCUCAUGAAGCUGGAUUCGGUAGUAAUCGCAUUUCAAUAGAGUGCGGUGAAUACGUCCCUGCUCCUUGCACACACCGCCCGUCAAAGCACCCGAGUGAGGUCCGGAUGAGGCCACCACACGGUGGUCGAAUCUGGGCUCCGAAGGAGGCUUAAGUCGUAACAAGGUAGCCCGUAGAUGAAUCUGCGCUAGAUCUACCUACUA